UCUCUUUUAUAGUCUAGAUCUAGUUUUAAUUUGUAUGCUCUCAUCUCCAUUUGUAAACACUUUAAUUUUAAUGCACAUCUUCCUUUAGUUUAUAUUUUGUCUCUUUACAUUUUCUUGCCUCAAAUGAUAUGAAUCUUCCAAGUACCACCCCAUGCUCAAGAGCUUUUGGGAAAGGAAGAAUUCAUCCAAGCUUUAAUUAAGUGUAGAUUUUAAUUAAGUAUAUAUCUUGUGUCCUAGCACAAAAUUAAUUUAUGUUAGGGUUUAGAUUUAAAUCUCAAAAUUAUCAUACCUUUAGUUGUAUUACUUUAAUUACAUAGUUAGAGAGUAACAAAAUCAGUAUUAAAAUCUCUCGAUUGCUCCUCUGUUUUCCAGAAUCUCUGCUUCGUUUUAACUCUUUAAUUAUACUUAAACAAAUGUUCGCUUUUGCCAAUUAUAAAACUAUUCCCCUGUUCCGUUAUACAAACCCAGUUUAUUGUUCCCGCUGCUCCGUUUAACAAACCACCUCCCCUGUUUUCAUUAAAGAACCACGAUGUCUUUUUAAUUUUAGUUUAAAACCCCAAAUGAUUUUCGUUUUUUUUUUUUGUGUUUGCUCGGCUGUCUUUCUUUGUAUUUACUGAGUUCUGAUUUUGUGUUUUCAUCGCCGAGUUCUUGCCGAGUUAUAACCGAGUCGAAAUGCCUUGUUCAUUCUGCUUGGUUUUGAUUUGAUUUCUGAGUUUGUUCCGAGUUUUAAACUGCUGAAUCUUGUUCUGUGUUUGUCCGAGUAGCUAAGUCUGUGCUCGUUUCCUGGUUGGGUUCUGUUUUCGGAGUCUGCAGUUUGGUGUAUGUUGUUUGAGUUCGUUAGUUUCUUGCUGCGAGUCUUUGCUCUCGUUUGUGUGCCUGGGUUGUUUCCGAGCUUUAGUUUAGAGUUUUAUCGAUUUUGUCUGCUGGGUUCUUGUUGUUUUAUCGGUUUUUAUGCUAUUGGUUUCUUCUUCACUGAGUUGUAGCUGAGUUUCCGUCGAAUCUGUUUGUGGUCUGUGGUUGUUUCCUUUUGUUUGAUUAUUAGAUUUGGUCUGCUGCGUGUUGAUUUGCAUCGAGUCCGUUGGCUGGGAUUUGUGCGAGUUUUGUAUGUUGCUUGUCGAGUCCUGCGCGAGUUUGAGUUUGAAUCUAUUUGUUUCAGCGAAGUCUCGCCGAGUCAUGACUGUUUUUGCCGAGUCGCGAUGGCCUGGUCCCGAGUUCAUUUUGUGUGUUUGAAGCUUUGAGUCUGUGGUUCUGUCGAGUUUGUAUGUUCGAGUCUUUGAGUCUCAGUUGUAAUUCGUAGGCUUGCUGAGUUUGUAGUUUUGCUGGUUUGAUUAUGUUUAGUGGAGUCUUGUUUUGUUGGCUUGAUUUGCUGGGCUGUGUCUCAUUAUUUUUAUUCGAAGCUGCGUUGUGUAGUCGAGUUUUGUUUUUACUGAUUCAGGCUGCUGCGUACUUGAAUUCCUAUUAGUAAUAAAUGUUAGUUAAUUGUUUUUGUUUGGAUGUCACCCACUAAGUUGUUAUGCAGCGUGGUAGUUUUUG
This 1533-nucleotide long non-coding RNA is filed under the name Daucus carota (carrot). Its description in RNAcentral is "long non-coding RNA (DCAR_LNC005592)". The record is from RNAcentral. Lineage: Eukaryota; Viridiplantae; Streptophyta; Magnoliopsida; Apiales; Apiaceae.